GACGAACGCUGGCGGCGUGCCUAAUACAUGCAAGUAGAACGCACAGUUUAUACCGUAGCUUGCUACACCAUAGACUGUGAGUUGCGAACGGGUGAGUAACGCGUAGGUAACCUGCCUGGUAGCGUGGGAUAACUAUUGGAAACGAUAGCUAAUACCGCAUAAUAUUAAUUAUUGCAUGAUAAUUAAUUGAAAGGUGCAAUUGCACCACUACCAGAUGGACCUGCGUUGUAUUAGCUAGUAGGGGAGGUAACGGCUCACCUAGGCGACGAUACAUAGCCGACCAGAGAGGGGGCUAGGCCAAACUGGGAUUGAGACAUGGCCCAGAAUACUACGGGAGGCAGAAGUAGGGAAGUCUAGGCAAUGGCAGAAAGUCUGACCGAGCAACGACGCGUGAGUGAAGAAGGUAUUCGGAUCGUAAAGCUCUGUUGUAAGAGAAGAACGGGUGUGAGAGUGGAAAGUUCACACUGUGACGGUAUCUUACCAGAAAGGGACGGCUAACUACGUG
Molecule: ribosomal RNA, 505 nt
Filed under: uncultured bacterium
Lineage: Bacteria
Description: partial 16S ribosomal RNA
Rfam family: Bacterial small subunit ribosomal RNA
Source: RNAcentral